This is a long non-coding RNA of Vitis riparia (riverbank grape), 639 nucleotides long. RefSeq lists it as uncharacterized. The record is from RefSeq and is a predicted model, not a curated record. NCBI's taxonomy places the organism in Eukaryota, Viridiplantae, Streptophyta, Magnoliopsida, Vitales, Vitaceae. The transcript is spliced from 4 exons.
GAUAAGAACCCUAGCCUUGCAAUCUACCAACAGCAGCCACAACAAAGAUGACUGACGAACUCAAUGGCAACCAGCAGGCACAACAAAGAUGACUGACGAACUCAAUGGCAACCAGUAGACACCCAUCUGUAGCCUCAUCGAGGACAACAACAAACAGCAGAAAACAACUACCACAAACAGCCUUCAUCACUGGAGAAAUCUAGAACGAAGAUGCCCUAACCCUUUUUCAUAGCUCCAGUUGUGAGAUUUCCUAACUGAUUUGCUGCCACCAAGAUAUUGGGAACUCCUUCAAAAAAUCAGCACAAGUAAAUCCCUUUUCUGAAGGUUUGAGACCUUGAAAAUCAAUUGCAAAGGAAAGGAAAACCAGAUUAAAACAGCCGCUGAAGACCAUAGCAGAGAAAAAGUAGAGGAAAGGAAAACCAGAUUAAACCAGCCAUUGGAAAUAUGUAUGUGAGUAAGACUUCUUACUUGGGAUGGAUGGAAGCAACCAACAAUGGCUUGCUUAUUCCUUCCAAUGCUCACAGUGAGAAGAUCAACCCAAUGCUGGCUGAGUUUACGAAAUAGGAAAUCCCAUAGGAGGAUCUUCAAAUCGGUGAACGUAUUGGCAUUGGUAAGAAUUUAUUCUCCUAAAUUUAUUCA